AAAUUUCUUGCUAUUGCACAAUAUUGUGCAAUUAGAUAUUUCUUGCUAUUGCGCAAUACUGUGCAAUUGAAAAUAUUUGCUAUUGCACAUUACUGUGCAAUUGAAGAUUUCUUGCUAUUGCGCAAUACUGUGCAAUUGAAGAUUUCUUGCUAUUGCUAAAUACUGUGCAAUUGAAAAUUUCUUGCUAUUGCACAUUAUAAUUUUGGAUCCUGAUUUGAACUGACUUGAAAACUAGACCUAUAAUCAAAAAUCUAAGUACAUGUUUAGAUUCAGCAUAUCAAAAAAGCCCAAGAAUUCAAUUUUUGUUAAAAUCUUAGUUUAAUUUUGGACCCUUUGGAUCUUAAUGUAGACCAAUUUGAAAACAGGACCAAAAAUUAAGAAUCUACAUACACAGUUAGAUUUGGCAUAUUAAAGAACCCCAAUUAUUCAAUUUUUGAUGAAAUCAAACAAAGUUUAAUUUUGCACCCUUUGGGCCCCUUAUUCCUAAACUGUUGGGACCAAAACUUCCAAAAUCAAUCCCAACCUUCCUUUUAUGGUCAUAAACCUUGUGUUUAAAUUUCAUAGAUUUCUAUUUACUUAAACUAAAGUUAAUAGUGCGAAAACAUUUCAAUAAAUCGUUGUCAAAGCCCCUAUAAUAAAAAUUACAGUAUUUUUAUAAGUGUCACUAUGCAAUGGCUUGGGCUCCUGACGAUGGACAUGACCAUGGUCAAUUAGUUAAUUCUAAUUGGUCUAAAUAGAUGUUCGAAACACCUUGUGAUCUAUGGAGUUGGGGUGCUGGGAUAGGCUUUGACAACGAUUUAUUGAAAUAUCUGUUCAUUUGGCAAUGAAUACUCAAAUUUGUGGUUCAUCAAUUAUUUAUAUUUGAAAACUAAAUGCUUAAGUUGAUUUAAUCUUCAGACCUAUAUAUAAACCUCAAUUCUGAUGCAAUACCAUGCAACUUUACAAAGUCAAUGUACAAACUUAAAUGAAGUACUUUGAAUAGAUUUAUUAAGCUACAAACUAAAAUUCUUUACAUUUUUAGCAUUUAUCCUACUGUACUAAUUAUAUAAUAGAGGCACAAUGUAAAAAAAUAUUGAUCACAAAAAUUAUUGUAAAAAAUCAUAGUGCAAAAAUACUUUCACAAUAAAUACAUAAGUCUAUAUAUACACAUUAUUAUUGGCACCAGUUAUUGCAUUUACAUAAAAUAUAAAUUUUAUUUUUAAAACAAUUUAAUAAGGUGCACAAGAAGUUUAUUUACAGAUAUCAGUAUUGAUAAAUAUUUCGUACCCAUGGAGUUUCAAUUAUAAUGGAUUUCAAAAUCAAACCAUGUGUUUUUCAACCUCUUAUGAAAUGUCAAUUUUCAAUUUAUUUGUUACAAAAUAUGAAACUACAAACUUAAAACUCAAAAAUCAAUGAUAAUUCCACUUUUUGUGUUUUAUUCAAGGUAUAAAAACACAAAUUCAAAACAAUGUAACAAUGAUAUAUAUUAUUAAAAAAAUCAAUGAAAUAAGUCAUGAAAAAUGAUCAUCAUUAAAACUAUUUAAUCAGUUGAUAAAAAAACUUAGUAUGAAAAUGCUUAAAAAAUUGUUAAGGGUUCUACUAAACAAUGCUUCUCACUCAUAAUUGCUGCUGUAAGUGAAAAAGUGUAAUAUUGAGAACAAAAAUUAAGUCCGUUUAUCAGGGAUACAUUUGUAUACCGUAAAAAUACCCCCAAAACUUGUUCCCAUCAGAUAACAUUUCUAUUCCUUGAACUUUUAGAAGCUUAUUUUCAAGUUUCAAAAUAUUCCAUGAAAGUUGACAAUGUCUAAAAAUUAAAUCAUUGACUGUAAGCUUCUCUAACUGCAAAACAAACUUAAUCCCUUACUUUGUAAAAUGCCAAAC
This 1860-nucleotide long non-coding RNA is filed under the name Mytilus galloprovincialis (Mediterranean mussel). Lineage: Eukaryota; Metazoa; Mollusca; Bivalvia; Mytilida; Mytilidae. The record is from RNAcentral.